AUUGAACGCUGGCGGCAUGCUUUACACAUGCAAGUCGAACGGCAGCGCGGGCUUCGGCCUGGCGGCGGGUGGCGAACGGGUGAGUAAUGCACCGGAACGUGCCCAGUAGUGGGGGAUAGCCCGGCGAAAGCCGGAUUAAUACCGCAAACGACCUGAGGUUGAAAGCGGGGGACCGAAAGGCCUCGCGCUUUUGGAGCGGCCGAUGUGGGAUUAGCUAGUUGGUGGGGUAAAGGCUUACCAAGGCGACGAUCCGUAGCUGGUCUGAGAGGACGACCAGCCACACUGGAGAUAGGACACGGCCCAGACUCCGACGGGAGGCAGCAGUGGGAAAUUUUGGACAAUGGGGGCAACCCUGAUCCAGCCAUGCCGCGUGCGGGAAGAAGGCCUUCGGGUUGUAAACCGUUUUUGUUCGGGAAGAAAUCCUCUGGGCUAAUACCCCGGGGGAAUGACGGUACCGGAAGAAUAGGCACCGGCUAACUACGU
Molecule: ribosomal RNA, 483 nt
Filed under: uncultured bacterium
Lineage: Bacteria
Description: partial 16S ribosomal RNA
Rfam family: Bacterial small subunit ribosomal RNA
Source: RNAcentral